Molecule: ribosomal RNA, 745 nt
Filed under: uncultured Planctomycetota bacterium
Lineage: Bacteria; Pseudomonadati; Planctomycetota
Description: bacterial SSU rRNA
Rfam family: Bacterial small subunit ribosomal RNA
Source: RNAcentral
GGAACGGUCAGUGUCUUGUGAAAGCCCACGGCUCAACCGUGGAAUUGCAGGACAUACUGCCGUUCUUGAGGCCGGUAGAGGUCGUCGGAACUGUAGGUGUAGCGGUGAAAUGCGUAGAUAUCUACAGGAACGCCAAAGACGAAGGUAGGCGACUGGGCCGGUUCUGACGCUCAGGCACGAAAGCGUGGGGAGCCAACAGGAUUAGAUACCCUGGUAGUCCACGCCGUAAACGAUGCGCACUAGAUUCGGGAGGUUCUGACACCAUCCGGGUCGAAGCAAAAGUGUUAAGUGCGCCGCCUGGGGAGUACGGUCGCAAGAUUAAAACUCAAAGGAAUUGACGGGGGCUCACACAAGCGGUGGAGCAUGUGGCUUAAUUCGAAGCAACGCGAAGAACCUUAUCCAGGGUUUGACAUGCACGGAUGCCCUUCCCGAAAGGGAAGUAAGCUGCCCUUGCGGUGAAACGUGCACAGGUGCUGCAUGGCUGUCGUCAGCUCGUGCUGUGAAGUGUUGGGUUAAGUCCCUUAACGAGCGAAACCCCUGUCGUUAGUUGCCAGCGCGCCUCCGGGUGGCGGGGACUCUAACGAGACUGCCGGUGUCAAACCGGAGGAAGGCGGGGAUGACGUCAAGUCCUCAUGGCCUUUAUGCCCUGGGCUGCACACGUGCUACAAUGGCAUGAACAAAGCGAAGCAAUCUCGUAAGAGGGAGCAAAUCGCACAAAUCAUGCCCCAGUUCGGAUUGGGGUCUG